GCCUUCUGAAAUUGUGAUGAAAACAUAGAUAGAAAGCAUCAUAAAUGCAUGCCCAUCUGCAACUGUUUGACUAUAAAGCUGUCAGUGAAGUAGAAUAUCGGAAAUAUUUUCAUAGAAAUGUUCGUUGGAAUUAAUAUUUUCUUUCUGGUGGUGGCAACAAGAGGACUUGUCUUAGGAAUGCUGGGAAACGGGCUCAUUGGACUGGUAAACUGCAUUGAGUGGGCCAAGAGUUGGAAGGUCUCAUCAGCUGAUUUCAUCCUCACCAGCUUGGCUAUAGUCAGAAUCAUUCGACUGUAUUUAAUACUAUUUGAUUCAUUUAUAAUGGUAUUGUCCCCUCAUCUAUAUACCAUCCGUAAACUAGUAAAACUGUUUACUAUU
RNAcentral lists this long non-coding RNA (378 nucleotides) under Homo sapiens (human). RNAcentral's name for it is "non-protein coding lnc-TAS2R30-1:1". Lineage: Eukaryota; Metazoa; Chordata; Mammalia; Primates; Hominidae. The record is from RNAcentral.